RNAcentral lists this ribosomal RNA (253 nucleotides) under uncultured bacterium. RNAcentral's name for it is "partial 16S ribosomal RNA". It matches the Rfam family "Bacterial small subunit ribosomal RNA", at positions 524 to 776 of the family's 1533-position model. The record is from RNAcentral.
GACAGCGGGGGCAAGCGUUGCUCGGAAUCACUGGGCGUAAAGGGCGCGUAGGCGGGAUGGCAAGUCGGUCGUGAAAUCUCUCGGCUCAACCGAGAAACGUCGGCCGAUACUGCCGUUCUUGAGGGAUGCAGAGGAGACUGGAAUUCCCGGUGUAGCGGUGAAAUGUGUAGAGAUCGGGAGGAACACCGGUGGCGAAGGCGGGUCUCUGGGCAUUUCCUGACGCUGAGGCGCGAAAGCGUGGGGAGCAAACGGG